GCAGAAGUAACAUUCCUUUGAACACUCAGCUUUCUGAAAUGGUGUCCCACCGCAAGGACUGGAGAAGGGCUGGAGUCCAAUGGUGCGAUGUCUGCUUACUGCAACCUCUGCCUCCCGGGUUCAAGCGAUUCUCCUGUCUCAGCCUCCUGAGGAGAUGGGACUACAGGCACCCUUGGAAAUGCAAUGCUACAUCUCAAUGGGAUUUUCCAGUACAAAGAUUCUUUUCAAAUAACAUAAUUGUGGAUACACACCACUCCUACAGUGGUAAACCUCAGGUUCUCCUCCUGCCUUUUGCUAAGUAUAUGUCUUGAUGACAAGCCUUCUGCUGAUGAGCUGUGUUUCUGGACCGAUCAUGGUAGAAGUCAAUUAACGUGUCCCUCACUUGGGGUUUCUCAAGGCUGCACUGAUGAGGAAACUGAAACAGAAAAUCCAGAGUAAAUUCCACCAGGCCACACAGCAAGGUCUGAUAGAGCCAGGAGAGACUUUAUGAAAUCCAGACUCUCACACUAAUGCUCUAUCAGCUAGACCUCCAUGUGAGUCUCCCCAAUGUAGGUAGGAAGUGCUUUCCCUAAAAUGCUCAUAAAGCAAAUCAGAGCAAUGCUGCAUUCCAUGUGAUUUCUAAUUUGAAAUGCAAACAAUUGCCAAUUUGUUUGACUUGUAUUUAUAAU
RNAcentral lists this long non-coding RNA (668 nucleotides) under Homo sapiens (human). RNAcentral describes it as "non-protein coding TEX41:139". Lineage: Eukaryota; Metazoa; Chordata; Mammalia; Primates; Hominidae. The record is from RNAcentral.